CACGUAGGAGACUAGCGUUAUCCGGAUUUACUGGGCGUAAAGCGCGUGCAGGCGGUUCAGCAAGUUGGAUGUGAAAGCUCCCGGCUUAACUGGGAGAGGUCGUUCAAUACUACUGGACUAGAGAGUGGUAGAGGGAGGUGGAAUUCCGGGUGUAGUGGUGAAAUGCGUAGAUAUCCGGAGGAACACCAGUGGCGAAAGCGGCCUCCUGGACCAUUUCUGACGCUCAGACGCGAAAGCUAGGGUAGCGAACGGGAUUAGAUACCCCCGUAGUCC
Molecule: ribosomal RNA, 273 nt
Filed under: uncultured bacterium
Lineage: Bacteria
Description: partial 16S ribosomal RNA
Rfam family: Bacterial small subunit ribosomal RNA
Source: RNAcentral